This 434-nucleotide long non-coding RNA is filed under the name Fukomys damarensis (Damara mole-rat). RNAcentral describes it as "lncRNA (ENSFDAG00000023082.1)". The record is from RNAcentral. Lineage: Eukaryota; Metazoa; Chordata; Mammalia; Rodentia; Bathyergidae.
AUUUUGACUGGAGUUUCCAUGUACUUAAUUAAUACCUGUCUGUGGCUUUUUUCUUUUUAUAGACACAAGGUGCUUGUUAAAAUCACAGCGACUCUAGCUCCCUUCUCCACUGAUUUGCCUGAAAGACAAAUGCAUUUUAACAGCAUCUCAGGAAUCCAAAUCAAGAACAACCUGAAUUGGGGUACGCUCGUGUUGUGACGGCCGGACCGCCACAAGUGGCGCCCAACGUUGUGCCUGGGUAUCGAGGGAUCCAGUGAAGGACACCGCAGAGAAGAAGGAGGCCUCAACGAAAAGGUAAGGAGCGGUGAAUUUUCUUGUAAAUAUUAAAAAUGGGAGCCAGCAUUAGUUACAUGUUUUUUGUACAUAUUUUUAAAAAUUUAUUGAGUGUAGAGGAACCUGAAUCUUAUGAUGAAAGUGAAACUAUUGUUCCCACG